This is a non-coding RNA of Aedes albopictus (Asian tiger mosquito), 58 nucleotides long. NCBI's taxonomy places the organism in Eukaryota, Metazoa, Arthropoda, Insecta, Diptera, Culicidae. The record is from Rfam.
UAGCCUAGUGGUUAAGGCUGUGGAUCGCCAAUCCGGAGACGGUGGGUUCGAUUCCCGU